Molecule: ribosomal RNA, 253 nt
Filed under: uncultured bacterium
Lineage: Bacteria
Description: partial 16S ribosomal RNA
Rfam family: Bacterial small subunit ribosomal RNA
Source: RNAcentral
UACGGAGGAUCCAAGCGUUAUCCGGAUUCAUUGGGUUUAAAGGGUGCGUAGGCGGAAUGAUAAGUCAGUGGUGAAAGCCCUCAGCUUAACUGAGGAACUGCCAUUGAUACUGUCAAUCUUGAGUACAUUUGAUGUGGGCGGAAUGUGUCAUGUAGCGGUGAAAUGCUUAGAUAUGACACAGAACACCGAUUGCGAAGGCAGCUCACAAAACUGUAACUGACGCUGAGGCACGAAAGCGUGGGUAUCAAACAGG